Molecule: ribosomal RNA, 253 nt
Filed under: uncultured Eubacteriales bacterium
Lineage: Bacteria; Bacillati; Bacillota; Clostridia; Eubacteriales
Description: uncultured Clostridiales bacterium partial 16S ribosomal RNA
Rfam family: Bacterial small subunit ribosomal RNA
Source: RNAcentral
UACGUAGGGGGCAAGCGUUAUCCGGAUUUACUGGGUGUAAAGGGAGCGUAGGCGGCUUAGUAAGUCAGAAGUGAAAGCCCGCAGCUCAACUGCGGGACUGCUUUUGAAACUGCCAAGCUAGAGUGUCGGAGAGGUAAGUGGAAUUCCUAGUGUAGCGGUGAAAUGCGUAGAUAUUAGGAGGAACACCAGUGGCGAAGGCAGCUUACUAAGCCAUAACUGACACUGAAGCACGAAAGCGUGGGGAUCAAACAGG